CCUUCCACAGUCGCGUUGAUGCGAGCCAUUGAAAAGGAUGAAUUCUUCCAUGUUUGUGGUGGUUGUAGUUGUUCUUUUUACGUUAGGUUUUGGCAAAAUUGAUGUCAAAACAAGUAAAAGAAACGAUACAUAGGAAACGGUCUCGGACAAAAUGCGAAUCCUUACCAGUAAAAUCGUUGACCAAGAAGAAGAAGAUCGACUUGAGACACUGGAGAGGCGGUUGCAAGUACUGUAGAGUUCCUGUAAGGAUGCUCCAAGGACUAUUCAAAAUCGACAAAUGUCGGUAACGACUGUGGCGUUUACUGCAUGCAUUUCGGAACAGGAUCGCGUGAACAUUGGUCAACACCAAACAAUUGUUUUUGAUGUGACAUAGUCAAGACAAACGUCGGAAAUGCAUACAGAGGGACAUCUGGAAUUUUCAGGGCACCUUUCAGUGGCGUUUAUGGUUUUCACCUGUCGAUCAUGGUAACGGGUGGCAAUAUAAUAUAUUUUAAUAUUGUCAAAAACGGAGCAGCCGUCGGUGUGAUGUGUGUUGAAGGAAGAGGAUACAGCUUGACCACGGUAACGGAAUUCUGGACAGUGGAACUCGAUGUCAAUGACGAAGUCUGGAUUUGGGCGGAUACGACAUACAGCGCAGGACAACAAGGAGCUGUACAUGGAUGGUGCAACUCUGAGUUUUCAGGCUUUUUAAUUGGCUCUUGAACCUCGCGGGAGAUACUCUUAUAACGAAUGUCGAGUGUCACAAUAUACUAUUCUAAAGUGUUCGAAAUGUUUUGAACAUGUUCCAAAUAAAAUUUAACAAGAUUUA
Molecule: long non-coding RNA, 808 nt
Organism: Dreissena polymorpha
Lineage: Eukaryota; Metazoa; Mollusca; Bivalvia; Myida; Dreissenidae
Exons: 3
Source: RefSeq, a predicted model, not a curated record